Molecule: ribosomal RNA, 440 nt
Filed under: uncultured bacterium
Lineage: Bacteria
Description: partial 16S ribosomal RNA
Rfam family: Bacterial small subunit ribosomal RNA
Source: RNAcentral
CCUACGGGAGGCAGCAGUAGGGAAUAUUGCUCAAUGGGGGAAACCCUGAAGCAGCAACGCCGCGUGGAGGAUGAAGGUUUUCGGAUUGUAAACUCCUUUUUUUAGAGAAGAUAAUGACGGUAUCUAACGAAUAAGCACCGUCUAACUCCGUGCCAGCAGCCGCGGUAAUACGGAGGGUGCAAGCGUUACUCGGAAUCACUGGGCGUAAAGAGAGCGUAGGCGGGAUAUCAAGUCAGAUGUGAAAUCCUACGGCGUAACCAUAGAACUGCAAUUGAAACUGUUAGUCUAGAGUAUGGGUGAGGUAGGUGGAAUUCUUGGUGUAGGGGUAAAAUCCGUAGAGAUCAAGAGGAAUACUGAUUGCGAAGGCGACCUGCUAAAACAUAACUGACGCUGAUGCGCGAAAGCGUGGGGAGCAAACAGGAUUAGAUACCCGGGUAGUC